RNAcentral lists this ribosomal RNA (321 nucleotides) under uncultured eukaryote. RNAcentral describes it as "partial 18S ribosomal RNA". It matches the Rfam family "Eukaryotic small subunit ribosomal RNA", at positions 1470 to 1796 of the family's 1831-position model. The record is from RNAcentral.
CCCUUAGAUGUCCUGGGCCGCACGCGCGCUACACUGACAUGUUCAACAAGCCUCCUAGUUCGACAGGAUUUGGGAAAUCUUUGAACGCAUGUCGUGAUAGGGAUAGAUCAUUGCAAUUAUUGAUCUCGAACGAGGAAUUCCUAGUAAACGCGAGUCAUCAGCUCGCAUUGAUUACGUCCCUGCCCUUUGUACACACCGCCCGUCGCACCUACCGAUUGAAUGUUUCGGUGAAGAUUCCGGAUAGGACUUUUUUGAUUUAUUUCAAUUUUGUCUUAAAAGCUAUCUAAACCUCAACAUUUAGAGGAAGGUGAAGUCGUAACA